GCGUUGGUGGUUCAGUGGUAGAAUACUCGCCUGCUACGCGGGUGGCCCGGGUUUGAUUCUCGGCCGACGCA
RNAcentral lists this transfer RNA (71 nucleotides) under Rhipicephalus microplus (southern cattle tick). Its description in RNAcentral is "tRNA-Ser". It matches the Rfam family "tRNA". From Rfam's summary of the family: Transfer RNA (tRNA) molecules are approximately 80 nucleotides in length. The record is from Rfam by way of RNAcentral. Lineage: Eukaryota; Metazoa; Arthropoda; Arachnida; Ixodida; Ixodidae.